Vespa velutina is the source of this 1569-nucleotide long non-coding RNA. RefSeq lists it as uncharacterized. Lineage: Eukaryota; Metazoa; Arthropoda; Insecta; Hymenoptera; Vespidae. The transcript has 3 exons. The record is from RefSeq and is a predicted model, not a curated record.
GAGAAAGCGAGUAAGAAAGAAAGAAAGAAAGAAAAAAAGAAAGAAAGAAAGAAAGAAAAAAAGAUAACUAAGAAAUAUCGGCUAAGUUUUAUCGGCUAAGAAAGUGACUAUGAAAGAUAUAGAAAGCUGAGUAUGCGCAAGAAGUAGGGAAAUCCGGUAAAGUUCAUUGAGUAUGACGAUGGUAAUAAGGGUGAAGGUUGAUUUUAAAAAGCAGAGAGAGAGAGAGAGAGAGAGAGAGAGAGAUGUAUAGCUGUAUAUAAAGGAAGAGUGGUGGUUGCAUGCUGCUGAACGAGCCGCCUAGUCUGCAACCCUCACUACUUGGCAGCUCGUUUUUCACACCGCCCGCACGCACCGGAAGGUGGUGGCCCACUGUUUUCGAGGACCGUUUAUUGAUCGCAUCAGCGCCUGCGUUUCUUCGUUGCUCCACUACCUUCGAAAAUUUCACCUCCUCCCGCACGUUUUCGUAUAGCCACCGAGGCUGCUUGUCGAACCAGAUUCACUUCCGGUUUUCCUUUCGGGGUUGUUGGUCCUCCAAGAUGAUGUUUAAUACCGACCGAUACUCUACGGUUACCGACCUUACUUCUUCACUCUUUUGGCGAACGGAAGUGGAGAAUGUAUCAAGGACGAUUGAUAAGAUAGAUUCCUAUGAUAGGAAGGGAAUUGGUAAAGUAAUUAAAACUUAUUUUAAUUCUUUAUAUGAUACAAGUUCUUCUUUUUUAUAUUAAAAAAAUAUAAAUUAUAUAUACUUGUUAUAGUAUAGUAUAUAUUGUACAAUAUAGUUAUAGUUUAGUUUUAGUUUAUUAUGGUAUAAAUAACUAAAGUAUACACUAAAGUAUACACUAGUAAAGUGUAAACUAAAGUAUACACUAUAUUAGGUAUAACUUACGUUUAAUAUAAUAAUGAUAUUAAUGAUAAUAUAAAUUAUUCAUUUAUACUUAGUACAAAUAGUAUAGCAUAUAUAGUACGUGUGGUACAAUAAUCCAAGUUAUAAUUAGUAUACCGACAUAUACUAUCUCUGCUGUAGAUUAAGUAUAUAAUGUAUAAUUUGUAUGUAGAAAAAAGAAACAUUUAUCAAACACUAACAUGUUAAGCAACAAUUGAUUUUGUUGCCAAAGAAAAAAUGUAAUAAAACCUAAAAAAAAAUAUAGACAUAUAUGAACGUGUGAUUUCAAAGUUACAAGGAUUUAUUAAAGGAUUAAUGAUAAUAUUAAAAGAAUCUCACCUUAAUUAGGUUCGAUAUUUGGAAAGAAAGGACUUUGGUUUUCUUUGGAAUGGUCUUGGAAUGGUCAUGUAAUAUAACAUUUCUUAUCCUUGAGAAGAACCUUAAGAGCCUAAAGAAUAAAAUGGCAAAACAAAAAAAAAAAAAGAAAGAAAAAAAAAAAGAAAAAAAGAAAAUAUAUAUACAAAGAAUUAGAAAAGAUUAUUGAGAAAUCGCAUUGUAAACUUUAUUAAUAGUACAAAAUGGAAAAAAUUUAUAUCGAUGCGAAUCGAAAGGACACGGUGUAUUUUGAAUAACACAAUCAAUAUCGCAUAUAAGAAACAUACCUCGUAUUAUAUAUACAUAUACAU